This 301-nucleotide ribosomal RNA is filed under the name uncultured bacterium. Its description in RNAcentral is "partial 16S ribosomal RNA". It matches the Rfam family "Archaeal small subunit ribosomal RNA", at positions 459 to 760 of the family's 1478-position model. The record is from RNAcentral.
CAGCAGCCACGGUAAUACCGGCACCUCGAGUGGUCAGGAGGUUUAUUGGGCCUAAAGCAUCCGUAGCCGGUUGCAUAAGUUUUCGGUUAAAUCUAUGCGCUUAACGUAUAGGCCGCCGAAAAUACUGUGCAGCUAGGGAGUGGGAGAGGUACACGGUACUCGAUGGGAAGGGGUAAAAUCCUUUGAUCUAUUGAUGACCACCUGUGGCGAAGGCGGUGUACCAGAACACGUUCGACGGUAAGGGAUGAAAGCUGGGGGAGCAAACCGGAUUAGAUACCCCCGUAGUCCCUGUCUCUUAUAC